GGAGGAGACUAUAUUUAAAAGAAGAAAAACUACCACAACAAGAGGACAUAGUCUUAAAUUAGAGGGACAAAGGUUUUAAAAAUAAUAUCAGGAAGUAUUACUUUACUGAGAGGGUAGUGGAUGCAUGGAAUAGCCUUCCAGCUGAAGUGGUAGAGGUUAACACAGUAAAGGAGUUUAAGCAUGCAUGGGAUAGGCAUAAGGCUAUCCUAACUAUAAGAUAAGGC
Non-coding RNA from Pelobates cultripes (western spadefoot toad), 224 nucleotides. The record is from the annotation of a GenBank genome assembly. NCBI's taxonomy places the organism in Eukaryota, Metazoa, Chordata, Amphibia, Anura, Pelobatidae.